CGAAUGGAUUAAGAGCUUGCUCUUAUGAAGUUAGCGGCGGACGGGUGAGUAACAGGUGGGUAACCUGCCCAUAAUACUGGGAUAACUCCGGGAAACCGGGGCUAAUACCGGAUAACAUUUUGAACCGCAUGGUUCGAAAUUGAAAGGCGGCUUCAGCUGUCACUUAUGGAUGGACCCGCGUCGCAUUAGCUAGUUGGUGAGGUAACGGCUCACCAAGGCAACUAUGCGUAGCCUACCUGAGAGGGUGAUCGGCCACACUGGGACUGACACACGGCCCAUACUCCUACGGGAGGCAGCAGUAAGGAAUCUUCCGCAAUGGACGAAAGUCUAACGGAGCAACGCCGCGUGAGUGAUGAAGGCUUUCGGGUCGUAAAACUCUGUUGUUAAGGAAGAACAAGUGCUAGUUGAAUAAGCUGGCACCUUGACGGUACCUAACCAGAAUGCCACGGCUAUCUACGUACCAGCAGCCGCGGUAAUACGUAGGUGGCAAGCGUUAUCCGGAAUUAUUGGGCGUACAGCGCGCGCAUGUGGUUUCUUAAGUCUGAUGUGAAAGCCCACGGCUCACCCGUGGAGGGUCAUUGGAAAC
RNAcentral lists this ribosomal RNA (586 nucleotides) under Bacillus sp. enrichment culture clone 26. RNAcentral's name for it is "bacterial SSU rRNA". It matches the Rfam family "Bacterial small subunit ribosomal RNA", at positions 67 to 633 of the family's 1533-position model. The record is from RNAcentral. Lineage: Bacteria; Bacillati; Bacillota; Bacilli; Caryophanales; Bacillaceae.